AGCAGUCCAGAGCUAGAACUAGAGAAGUUUACCUCAGAAACUGAGCAAUUCGAGCCAUGAUUGCCCCGGCCCCUGGCUGAAGCACAUUUCCUGUGGACAACAAACCUUUAUUCAGUGGCAGACCACAUGCUGAGAACCAAGGUGACACCCAGGACUUCACGGAAAGAAUGCAACACUUGCCAAAUAACAGAACUUGUCCAGUGAGGAAAUGGCUUUCUGAAACCA
Long non-coding RNA from Echinops telfairi (small Madagascar hedgehog), 225 nucleotides. RefSeq lists it as uncharacterized. NCBI's taxonomy places the organism in Eukaryota, Metazoa, Chordata, Mammalia, Afrosoricida, Tenrecidae. The record is from RefSeq and is a predicted model, not a curated record. The transcript has 2 exons.